RNAcentral lists this ribosomal RNA (497 nucleotides) under uncultured bacterium. RNAcentral describes it as "partial 16S ribosomal RNA". It matches the Rfam family "Bacterial small subunit ribosomal RNA", at positions 28 to 507 of the family's 1533-position model. The record is from RNAcentral.
GAUGAACGCUGGCGGCGUGCCUAAUACAUGCAAGUCGAGCGAACAGACGAGGAGCUUGCUCCUCUGACGUUAGCGGCGGACGGGUGAGUAACACGUGGAUAACCUACCUAUAAGACUGGGAUAACUUCGGGAAACCGGAGCUAAUACCGGAUAAUAUAUUGAACCGCAUGGUUCAAUAGUGAAAGACGGUUUUGCUGUCACUUAUAGAUGGAUCCGCGCCGCAUUAGCUAGUUGGUAAGGUAACGGCUUACCAAGGCGACGAUGCGUAGCCGACCUGAGAGGGUGAUAGGCCACACUGGACCUGAGACACGGUCCAGACUCCUACGGGAAGCAGCAGUAGGGAAUCUUCCGGAAUGGGCGAAAGCCUGACGGAGCAAAGCCGGGUGAGUGAUGAAGGUCUUCGGAUCGUUAAACUCUGUUAUUAGGGGAGAACAAAUGUGUAAGUAACUAUGCACGUCUUGACGGUACCUAAUCAGAAAGCCACGGCUAACUCCGUG